RNAcentral lists this long non-coding RNA (217 nucleotides) under Linum usitatissimum (flax). Its description in RNAcentral is "long non-coding RNA (LUSI_LNC006542)". The record is from RNAcentral. Lineage: Eukaryota; Viridiplantae; Streptophyta; Magnoliopsida; Malpighiales; Linaceae.
AACCGCAAUGAAGUCAACGUCGAUGAAAUUUUUGUGUAUAGUGCCACACUAAAAUAUGAUAGUUGAAAAUGAGGAUCAUGAUCCAAAAUGUAUGCAAAGAAAGAAAUGAUUGGCUGAAAAAUUUCAAUUUGAGGCAAAAUCAAAUUCCCCAAAGAAAUGAAAAGUUUUAAGACAUCAAGUCUUUAUACAUUGAGAUGUAAAGUAUGAGUAUGAGAAG